RNAcentral lists this ribosomal RNA (253 nucleotides) under uncultured bacterium. Its description in RNAcentral is "partial 16S ribosomal RNA". It matches the Rfam family "Bacterial small subunit ribosomal RNA", at positions 524 to 776 of the family's 1533-position model. The record is from RNAcentral.
UACGGGGGGGGUAAGCGUUGUUCGGAAUUACUGGGCGUAAAGGGCGCGUAGGCGGGCUGACAAGUCUGGGGUGAAAUGCCGCGGCUCAACCGUGGAACUGCCUUAGAUACUGACGGCCUCGAGGAAGGUAGGGGCAUGCGGAACUGUAGGUGGAGCGGUGAAAUGCGUUGAUAUCUACAGGAACUCCGGUGGCGAAAGCGGCGUGCUGGACCUUUUCUGACGCUGAGGCGCGAAAGCUAGGGGAGCAAACGGG